Molecule: ribosomal RNA, 439 nt
Filed under: uncultured bacterium
Lineage: Bacteria
Description: partial 16S ribosomal RNA
Rfam family: Bacterial small subunit ribosomal RNA
Source: RNAcentral
CCUACGGGUGGCUGCAGUCGGGAAUUUUGGGCAAUGGGGGCAACCCUGACCCAGCAACGCCGCGUGAGCGAUGAAGGCCUUCGGGUCGUAAAGCUCUGUCGGGAGGGAAGAAGGCUCUCGGGGUGAACAAUCCCGGGGGCUUGACGGUACCUCCAAAGGAAGCGCCGGCUAACUCCGUGCCAGCAGCCGCGGUAAUACGGAGGGCGCAAGCGUUGUUCGCAAUCACUGGGCUUACAUGUCAAGUCGGCGGGCCUAACCCCGGAACUGCACUCGAAACUGCCUCGCUCGAGUCUCGGAGAGGGUGGUGGAAUUCCCGGUGUAGGGGUGAAAUACGUAGAUAUCGGGAGGAACACCAGCGGCGAAGGCGGCCACCUGGACGAUGACUGACGCUGAGACGCGAAAGCGUGGGGAGCAAACAGGAUUAGAUACCCCAGUAGUC